RNAcentral lists this ribosomal RNA (94 nucleotides) under Escherichia coli. Its description in RNAcentral is "partial 16S ribosomal RNA". It matches the Rfam family "Bacterial small subunit ribosomal RNA", at positions 1 to 91 of the family's 1533-position model. The record is from RNAcentral. Lineage: Bacteria; Pseudomonadati; Pseudomonadota; Gammaproteobacteria; Enterobacterales; Enterobacteriaceae.
UUAAAUUGAAGAGUUUGAUCAUGGCUCAGAUUGAAUGCUGGCGGCAGGCCUAACACAUGCAAGUCGAACGGUAACAGGAAAUAGCUUGCUGUUU